RNAcentral lists this ribosomal RNA (293 nucleotides) under uncultured Pseudomonadota bacterium. RNAcentral's name for it is "uncultured proteobacterium partial 16S ribosomal RNA". It matches the Rfam family "Bacterial small subunit ribosomal RNA", at positions 159 to 454 of the family's 1533-position model. The record is from RNAcentral. Lineage: Bacteria; Pseudomonadati; Pseudomonadota.
UGUGCUAAUACCGCAUAAUCUCUCAGGAGAAAAGCAGGGGAUCGCAAGACCUUGCGCUUUAGGAGCGGCCGAUGCCUGAUUAGCUUGUUGGUAAGGUAAAAGCUUACCAAGGCUUCGAUCAGUAGCUGGUCUGAGAGGACGACCAGCUACACUGGGACUGAGACACGGCCCAGACUCCUACGGGAGGCAGCAGUGGGGAAUUUUGGACAAUGGGGGAAACCCUGAUCCAGCCAUGCCGCGUGAGUGAAGAAGGCCUUCGGGUUGUAAAGCUCUUUCAGCCGGAACGAAACGGU